Molecule: ribosomal RNA, 468 nt
Filed under: uncultured bacterium
Lineage: Bacteria
Description: partial 16S ribosomal RNA
Rfam family: Bacterial small subunit ribosomal RNA
Source: RNAcentral
GACGAACGCUGGCGGCGUGCUUAACACAUGCCGGUCGAACGGAAAGGCCCUGCUUUUGUGGGGUGCUCGAGUGGCGAACGGGUGAGUAACACGUGAGUAACCUGCCCUUGACUUUGGGAUAACUUCUGGAAACUGGGGCUAAUACCGGAUAGGAGCUCCUGCUGCAUGUUGGGGGUUGGAAAGUUUCGGCGGUUGGGGAUGGACUCGCGGCUUAUCAUCUUGUUGGUGGUGUAGUGGCUUACCAAGGCUUUGACGGGUAGCCGGCAUGAGAGGGUGACCGGCAACAUUGGGACUGAGAGAGGGACCAGAAUCCUACGGGAGGCAGCAGUGGGGAAAAUUGCAAAAUGGGCGGAAGCCUGAUGCAGCAACGCGGCGUGCGGGAUGACGGCCUUCGGGUUGUAAACCGCUUUCGCCUGUGACGAAGCGUGAGUGACGGUAAUGGGUAAAGAAGCACCGGCUAACUACGUG